Propithecus coquereli (Coquerel's sifaka) is the source of this 483-nucleotide long non-coding RNA. RefSeq lists it as uncharacterized. The record is from RefSeq and is a predicted model, not a curated record. Lineage: Eukaryota; Metazoa; Chordata; Mammalia; Primates; Indriidae. The transcript is spliced from 3 exons.
CCUGGAUGAAGACGGGCAGAUGCGUGGAGAUGUCCCGCCACUGACGCCACACGGGGAUUUCAGAACACGGUCCGCGCUCUCUGUCAAGCCCUCGCUCCCGACCCCAGGGUUAGAACAGCAAGGGAGUGCGGUGGCCGGAGGCUGGGAGACCCGGGAGGGAGGGCGCGCGGUACCUGCUUGUCGAGCGCGUCCCGGACGCCUCCCGGUCCCGCGCCGGCCCUGGGUGGCGCGGGGGUCCGUUCGCAGGUGCAGCCUUCCAGGAGGUACAUGCCCGCCGGGCGGCCGCUCUGCUCGCCCUCGAAGUAGAAGAGCACAUUCUGGUACAGGGCGAACCACUUCUCGUGCCAGCGGCUCGCCUCGGCCGCCUUCUUGCUGAGGAAGCCGCGCUUGGUGCCCUCCUUGCGCGCCAGGAAGGCCAGGCUCAUUUUCUCAUCACUAAUUUGGAGAUACAGAAGUUGGAGACUUGGAUUCCCCUUGGUGGAA